AUGGGAGCGGCGCACUGCAGUCACGGCCGCCCUCUUCUUCUUGCCUGGCGCCGGCUCCACCACAUCUUCCUUGCCGCCAUCUUGUUCUUGCUUCACCACGACGCCGUCUGGGAGAUCGACCUCCGGCAGCGCAUCCACGUGGAUUGGGAGGUUCCUGUCCCCCUCCACGGCGUCGAGGACGGGAGCCAGCAGCUGCACUUCAGGCUCGUUGUCGGAGAGGACGACGACCUCAUCCACCUCGUCAGAUUCGUCAGACGACUCGUCCUCAUCAUCUUCACUGGACUCGUCGUCAGAGGACUCGUCGUCCCUUUCAGCGUUGAAGAUCCAGAUUACCAGGGGCUUGAGCUGGAAACGAUGUCUCCAUGUGAGAAGCACGGCAAGGCAUCUGAGAGGCUUGUCGCAUUUGAAGGAACAGACACAGGGAGAAGGUUCCUAGCAUGUGCAGAGCCGGAAGGGCAGAAUUGUGGGUUUGUUGAAUGGGUUGAUCACCAGUGGCCCCCAACAAUGCAAAAUGCAUUGUUGAAGCUGUGGGCCAUGGUUGAAGAUAGCAAGAGUGCUAGGGUGAAUGAUAAUCUUGAAAGUUCUUUCACUAUCCACCAUCUGACAGAAGAGAAGAACAAGCUGGAGGCCAACUAUGACAAGUUAGUCCAAGAUGUGCAUGAACUUAUGAGCUUCCAGGAGGACAGGGUGGUGGAUUUCAGAUAUCUGCAGGAUAACCUUACAUAUCAGCAGCAAUGCAGAAGUGAACUGCUGGCUGAUAUGAAGGCACAGAUGGCAAAGAAAGAUGCAGAGUUUGAGAAGCUUAAGCAGAAUUAUGAAGUGCUACUGAACCUGACAAGAGCACAAGCAACAGUCAUCCAGAACUUGAAGUUGAAGCAUAUUAAAGACAAGCAAUUGUUUAGUGAAGAUAAGAUGAACUUGGAGUUGAAGAAUGCAGAGCUCACAAAGUCUGAGGAGAAGCUCACCCAAGAGAAGCUAGAGUUGAAGCUUCAGAUUGCUGAGUUGAUGAAGGCAGAGGAGAAGCUGAAGGAGAAGAUCAAGGGGAUCCAGGCCAUCUUAGAGAAGUGA
This 1068-nucleotide ribosomal RNA is filed under the name Triticum aestivum (bread wheat). RNAcentral's name for it is "partial small subunit ribosomal RNA". The record is from RNAcentral. Lineage: Eukaryota; Viridiplantae; Streptophyta; Magnoliopsida; Poales; Poaceae.